AUUGAACGCUGGCGGCAGGCCUAACACAUGCAAGUCGAGCGGAUGAAGGGAGCUUGCUCCUGGAUUCAGCGGCGGACGGGUGAGUAAUGCCUAGGAAUCUACCUGGUAGUGGGGGAUAACGUCCGGAAACGGGCGCUAAUACCGCAUACGUCCUGAGGGAGAAAGUGGGGGAUCUUCGGACCUCACGCUAUCAGAUGAGCCUAGGUCGGAUUAGCUAGUUGGUGGGGUAAAGGCCUACCAAGGCGACGAUCCGUAACUGGUCUGAGAGGAUGAUCAGUCACACUGGAACUGAGACACGGUCCAGACUCCUACGGGAGGCAGCAGUGGGGAAUAUGGGACAAUGGGCGAAAGCCUGAUCCAGCCAUGCCGCGUGUGUGAAGAAGGUCUGCGGAUUGUAAAGCACUUUAAGUUGGGAGGAAGGGCAGUAAGUUAAUACCUGGCUGUUUUGACGUUACCAACAGAAUAAGCACCGGCUAACUUCGU
Molecule: ribosomal RNA, 483 nt
Filed under: uncultured bacterium
Lineage: Bacteria
Description: partial 16S ribosomal RNA
Rfam family: Bacterial small subunit ribosomal RNA
Source: RNAcentral